CUGAGAUUCUUUGGUUUCCAAGUACACCCUGGGGAUGUAAAUUGCAAAGGAUGAAAGGAUUUGAACCUGCAACCCCCAAAGGUUGAAAAGCGUCUACUGAUGAUGCAUCCACUGAGCUAUCACGUGUCUACCUGUAUAGCCCAAUCACUGCAGUAGUUCUUGCUUCAUAAGCCGUAUUGGCUUUUUUCAUCCAAGUGGGAUUUGUGAAAAAUCAAUAAUCGUAUUGCAC
Non-coding RNA from Pelobates cultripes (western spadefoot toad), 229 nucleotides. Lineage: Eukaryota; Metazoa; Chordata; Amphibia; Anura; Pelobatidae. The record is from the annotation of a GenBank genome assembly.